Molecule: ribosomal RNA, 988 nt
Filed under: uncultured bacterium
Lineage: Bacteria
Description: bacterial SSU rRNA
Rfam family: Archaeal small subunit ribosomal RNA
Source: RNAcentral
AAAACUUUACAAUGCGGGCAACCGUGAUAAGGGAACCUCGAGUGCCUGUAUAUGCAGGCUGUUCAGGUGUCUAAAACACACCUGAAGAAAGGGCCGGGCAAGACCGGUGCCAGCCGCCGCGGUAAUACCGGCGGCUCGAGUGGUGGCCACUUUUAUUGGGCUUAAAGCGUUCGUAGCUGGGUUGUUAAGUCUCUUGGGAAAUCUGGCGGCUUAACCGUCAGGCGUCUAAGGGAUACUGGCAAUCUUGGAACCGGGAGAGGUGAGGGGUACUUCGGGGGUAGGAGUUAAAUCCUGUAAUCCUCGAGGGACCACCUGUGGCGAAGGCGCCUCACCAGAACGGCUUCGACAGUGAGGGACGAAAGCUGGGGGAGCAAACCGGAUUAGAUACCCGGGUAGUCCCAGCCGUAAACGAUGUGCGUUAGGUGUAUCGGUGACCACGAGUCACCGAGGUGCCGAAGGGAAACCGUGAAACGUACCGCCUGGGAAGUACGGUCGCAAGGCUGAAACUUAAAGGAAUUGGCGGGGGAGCACCACAACGGGUGGAGCNUGCGGUUUAAUUGGACUCAACGCCGGAAAUCUCACCGGAUAAGACAGCGGAAUGAUUGCCGGGCUGAAGACUCUGCAUGACUAGCUGAGAGGAGGUGCAUGGCCGUCGUCAGUCCGUACUGUGAAGCAUCCUGUUUAGUCAGGCAACGAGCGAGACCCACGCCAACAGUUGCCAGCAUGGCCUCCGGGCUGAUGGGGACACUGUUGGGACCGCCUCUGCUAAAGGGGAGGAAGGAAUGGGCAACGGUAGGUCAGCAUGCCCCGAAUUAUCCGGGCUACACGCGGGCUACAAUGGGCAGGACAAUGGGUAUCGACACCGAGAGGUGAAGGCAAUCUCUUAAACCUGUCCUUAGUUCGGAUUGUGGGCUGUAACUCGCCCACAUGAAGCUGGAAUCCGUAGUAAUCGCGUUUCAAAAUAACGCGGUGAAUGUGUCCCUGCUCC